CCAGGAAGGCACGAGCUGCAGGAACAUCCACUUCUUGAGAGCAGUGUACAGAUCCAUCUCCACUUGCAUCACGAAGAGAUUAGAAGAGCUGAUCAGCUGCUUCAUGAGGUUUAUGCUGAGCUCUUUGAAGAGUUCAACGCUCUGGUGAGUCAUCAGGUUGUUCAGCAGCCACUCGAGGCACCUCUUCUUCACCGAGUCCAACCCGUACGUCCCCGCCGAGUUGUAAUAACUGCACACAGUUUUGGCAUUGAUGGUUUCCUUCAUCGUUUCCCCGCACUGCAGGAUCAGACCGUCCAGCUGCAGCAUGCAGGCGGCCGCCAGCAGCGCAACCACUCGGCCGGGCUUUAUCAGCACAUCAUCCCGGUACAGAGAGCCGAAUGCCACCUGCAGGGCCUCUAUGUCGAUGUUCUGGUCGGGGAUCUCCAGCUCGAUGGUAUCCAUGCAGGAUUCCUUCCAGGAGCCGCUGAACAUGCUGGAGAAGUAUCCUGACUGGCGCAGGUACACUUUGUGUAAGUUCCACUCCUCUCCCAGGGCGCAGAUUUUGAUGUCGCUGUUCUCUCCGUUCAGAAACAGAGUCUGGUAAAUAUACAUGGAGGUGCUUUUCAGCUUUUUCCUGCGGGGGGCGCUGUGGAGCCGCUCUUCCCGCUCGCUGUCGCUGUCGCUCUCGCUGUCACCGGGCCCUUCGCCCCCUCCGCGCUUUCUCUUUCCUCCUCGACGCCCCCCACCCCCUCCGCCGCGGCCG
RNAcentral lists this long non-coding RNA (742 nucleotides) under Gallus gallus (chicken). The record is from RNAcentral. Lineage: Eukaryota; Metazoa; Chordata; Aves; Galliformes; Phasianidae.